GAUGAACGCUGGCGGCGUGCCUAAUACAUGCAAGUCGAGCGAACGGACGAGAAGCUUGCUUCUCUGAUGUUAGCGGCGGACGGGUGAGUAACACGUGGAUAACCUACCUAUAAGACUGGGAUAACUUCGGGAAACCGGAGCUAAUACCGGAUAAUAUUUUGAACCGCAUGGUUCAAAAGUGAAAGACGGUCUUGCUGUCACUUAUAGAUGGAUCCGCGCUGCAUUAGCUAGUUGGUAAGGUAACGGCUUACCAAGGCAACGAUGCAUAGCCGACCUGAGAGGGUGAUCGGCCACACUGGAACUGAGACACGGUCCAGACUCCUACGGGAGGCAGCAGUAGGGAAUCUUCCGCAAUGGGCGAAAGCCUGACGGAGCAACGCCGCGUGAGUGAUGAAGGUCUUCGGAUCGUAAAACUCUGUUAUUGGGGAAGAACAUAUGUGUAAGUAACUGUGCACAUCUUGACGGUACCUAAUCAGAAAGCCACGGCUAACUACGUGCCAGCAGCCGCGGUAAUACGUAGGUGGCAAGCGUUAUCCGGAAUUAUUGGGCGUAAAGCACGCGUAGGCGGUUUUUUAAGUCUGAUGUGAAAGCCCACGGCUCAACCGUGGAGGGUCAUUGGAAACUGGAAAACUUGAGUGCAGAAGAGGAAAGUGGAAUUCCAUGUGUAGCGGUGAAAUGCGCAGAGAUAUGGAGGAACACCAGUGGCGAAGGCGACUUUCUGGUCUGUAACUGACGCUGAUGUGCGAAAGCGUGGGGAUCAAACAGGAUUAGAUACCCUGGUAGUCCACGCCGUAAACGAUGAGUGCUAAGUGUUAGGGGGUUUCCGCCCCUUAGUGCUGCAGCUAACGCAUUAAGCACUCCGCCUGGGGAGUACGACCGCAAGGUUGAAACUCAAAGGAAUUGACGGGGACCCGCACAAGCGGUGGAGCAUGUGGUUUAAUUCGAAGCAACGCGAAGAACCUUACCAAAUCUUGACAUCCUUUGACAACUCUAGAGAUAGAGCUUUCCCCUUCGGGGGACAAAGUGACAGGUGGUGCAUGGUUGUCGUCAGCUCGUGUCGUGAGAUGUCGGGUUAAGUCCCGCAACGAGCGCAACCCUUAAGCUUAGUUGCCAUCAUUAAGUUGGGCACUCUAAGUUGACUGCCGGUGACAAACCGGAGGAAGGUGGGGAUGACGUCAAAUCAUCAUGCCCCUUAUGAUUUGGGCUACACACGUGCUACAAUGGACAAUACAAAGGGCAGCGAAACCGCGAGGUCAAGCAAAUCCCAUAAAGUUGUUCUCAGUUCGGAUUGUAGUCUGCAACUCGACUACAUGAAGCUGGAAUCGCUAGUAAUCGUAGAUCAGCAUGCUACGGUGAAUACGUUCCCGGGUCU
RNAcentral lists this ribosomal RNA (1372 nucleotides) under uncultured bacterium. RNAcentral's name for it is "bacterial SSU rRNA". It matches the Rfam family "Bacterial small subunit ribosomal RNA", at positions 28 to 1381 of the family's 1533-position model. The record is from RNAcentral.